UCUGGUUGAUAGGGAAAAUGUGAAGAUCUGGUUGAUAGAGAAGGAAAAUGUGAAGAUCUGGUUGACAGAGAGGGAAAAUGUGAAGAUUUGGUUGACAGGGAGGGAAAAUGUGAAGAUCUGUUUGAUAGGGAGGGAGAAUGUGAGGAUCUGGUUGAUGGAGAUGGAAAAUGUGAAGAUCUGGUUGACAGGGAGGGAAAAUAUGAAGAUCUGGUUGAUAGAGAGGGAAAAUGUGAAGAUCUGGUUGAUGGAGAUGGAAAAUGUGAAGAUCUGGUUGACAGRGAGGGAAAAUAUGAAGAUUUCAUUGAUAGAGAGGGAAAAUGUGAAGAUCUGGUUGAUAGGGAAAAUGUGAAGAUCUGGUUGAUGGAGAUGGAAAAUGUGAAGAUCUGGUUGACAGGGAGGGAAAAUAUGAAGAUCUGGUUGAUAGAGAGGGAAAAUAUGAAGAUCUGGUUGAAGAGGGGAAAAUGUGCAGAU
This is a long non-coding RNA of Sapajus apella (tufted capuchin), 471 nucleotides long. RefSeq lists it as uncharacterized. The transcript is spliced from 3 exons. The record is from RefSeq and is a predicted model, not a curated record. Lineage: Eukaryota; Metazoa; Chordata; Mammalia; Primates; Cebidae.